This 2444-nucleotide long non-coding RNA is filed under the name Homo sapiens (human). RNAcentral describes it as "HSALNT0335559". Lineage: Eukaryota; Metazoa; Chordata; Mammalia; Primates; Hominidae. The record is from RNAcentral.
GGGGAAGCCAGCUGCCAUGUCCUGAAGAUACUAAGGCAACCGUGUGCAGAGGAACUAAAAUACCGAGUUCAACAACAGAUCACAGGUUGCGAGAGGUCUUAAAUCCAUACUCUUCCAGUGACUAGAGCAAAUGCAGCCCUAGGUCUGGCAUCCUGAAUUUUUGUCUUAUUUUUUCAUUAGUACACGAGACUCUACUUUCAUCUUUUUAAAAGGUCUCUUGCUAUCCUUCAAGCAAAGCUAUCUCCAAAUCUGAAGAAGAGACCAAGAAAUAGAAAAAGUAGCACCUCUUGCCUGCUUCCCUGUCUAAUAUUUGAAAGAGUGCCUCCAUCAGAGAGCUCCAUCCAGACCUAGACUUGGACAAUAGGCAGUUGUUUGCUUGCCUCUGGCUCUGCUCACUCUCCAUGGGGGUCUAUAGCUGGUGAUCAUCUUGUAUACCUAAUUCUGGCUUCAUCUUCAGACUCGGACAGCCAGGAAUCCAGGAAUGUGCAGCAUGGAUGCCCAAGUCUGAGUGGAGGUUGCAUCAGUUUCAAAGACAUUGUGCUCUUCCCUGCCGUGGUGGAGUGGUGAGCCGGUUGACAUCCCGGAAAAGGUUGUUAGGGAGUGGAGGUGGGUGGAAGAACCAGAGUCAGACAGUCUGUUCUUCUCUGAUGGUGUCACAUCUGGAUAGAGUGGCUGGAGCUGCUGCAUCCAGCUUGCUACAAGCACAGGGGAUGGCAGAGCUCAGAGAUGGGAUGACCCUGUGUUCUUGAUGGAAUCAACCAGUCAUGCGGAUCCUGCUAUUUCUGGACUGGCUGUUAGACAUCUGACUCAUGAAAAGAAAAAUAGAAGUGAAAAUUGCCAUUUUUCUCAAGAAAUAGCACUUUCUUCCCACAAUAUAAAGAAGACCAUUUGACUUUUAUUACUAAGUUUUCCAAACCACUGAGCAUGCACCUCCACAUGCCUGCAGAGUGCACUGGUUGCCAUUGGGUUGAGUGAAUUCCAGUUACACAUUACUAUCACAGACAAGUAAAGGGUCAAUGAAAUACAUAUUCACGACCCCACAAAUAAUCUUUUCAGUAGUCUGUUUCCUAGUUACAUGAUUUCCCUUUUCUUAAAUCCUUGAAUUAUUUGAUAAAAGUCUCCACAGUGGUGUUUUUACUGUGGCUGAACUUUGGUGGGUAAAGAGAUAAAAGAAAAACUUCAAUCUAUGGCCUUGGGACACACAUGAGAAAUUUGCUACCCAGGUGAGGCACACUUGUGGAAGCCAAAAAUCUUCAUGCUUAUAUCAAAUCCAUGAAUAUUCUGGCUUCUGAACAUGGCCCAAGUACGGGAGGGUUAUGUGCAGUAGUAAACAGAUGACUAAACUACAUCUGAUGCCUAAGUAGUGACUUCUUGGUGAACACACAACUUUUUCACCAUGCUAUCAUGCAAUCAUUUUUAAAACUCGGGAUGUCAUCUUCCUCCCUUGUAAGUUCAAGCCCCCAGAUAUGGCUUAUCAGGCCACUUAUAAUGUGUGUGCUUUCAAGUUCACGAUAUACAUUGCAUUACAUUUAUAAUAUCAGGUGACGUGACACAGCAAAUGAUACCUUCAACUAUCUCCAGCCCCAAUCUUGGGAAAUGUUUCUGGUAGUCCCAGUAGCAGGGACAGCAAGCUAAAAUAAGGGGUUUAACGUUUAAGAUCUCUAAGAGCUGAUACCACUGGGGCAAACUCCCUCAACAAUGAGGUUUUCUCCAACCUCAAAAGAAAGGCCAGUGAACAGUCAUCUGGUACAGGUGGCAUUGCUGGUGGGAGGAGUGGGUUUUCCACGGCUGUACUACACAUUUUGGGAGCCAUCAAUAGCUGGCGCAGUGGAUGCAACACCCUCUUGAUUGUCAGCAGAAGCAAAUCACUAGAAGCCCUGGAACCCUAGUAAAACACCCAAAAGAAAACAUGGAAUUAAAUAUCACGUUGUCAUCCCUGCUGCUUAGGUACAGAAGAGGUACAGCUCUAUUCUGGAAGGAUUUGGAGUCAUUUGAGAGAGCAGCUUUACAUCAGAAGUUUUGACUAGUAUUCUCAUUUUAGGGACAGAUAGUGAUUCUCAUUUGAGGACAGCUGAAAAAAAAAAACAGCUGAAUUAUCACCAACUAGUUUAGGUUAUGUCUUGGGUUGAAUUGUGUUGUCCAAAAAGAUUCAUUGACGCACUAACCCCCAGAACCUCAGAAUGUGACCCUUAUUUGGAAUGAGGGUCUUUACAGAGUUAAUCAGAUUAAAAUAAGAUACGAUUGGCACUAACCCAAUAUGAGUUUUUAGAAAAAGGGGAAAUUUCAACCCAGAGACAUGCAUUGUGGGAGAACUAUAAGAAAAGAUACAGGCAGAACGCCAUGAGAAGACAAAUGCACAGACUAGGGGAUGCAACUACAAGCCAAGGAAUGGCAAAGAUUUCCAGCAAACCACCAGAUGCUAGGAGAAGCAUGGAACAGAUUCU